GACGAGUCUCACGAACGUUAUUCGGAAUUACUGGGCUUAAAGGGUGCGUAGGCGGUGAAGUAAGUCGGAUGUGAAAUACCAUAGCUUAACUAUGGAACUGCACUCGAUACUACUUUGCUUGAGUAAGACAGAGGUGAGUGGAACUGAGGGUGGAGCGGUGAAAUGCGUUGAUAUCCUCAGGAACACCGGUGGCGAAGGCGACUCACUGGGUCUUUACUGACGCUGAUGCACGAAAGCUAGGGUAGCAAACGGG
Molecule: ribosomal RNA, 253 nt
Filed under: uncultured bacterium
Lineage: Bacteria
Description: partial 16S ribosomal RNA
Rfam family: Bacterial small subunit ribosomal RNA
Source: RNAcentral